This 85-nucleotide transfer RNA is filed under the name Caudoviricetes sp. RNAcentral describes it as "tRNA-Leu". It matches the Rfam family "tRNA". Rfam says of the family: Transfer RNA (tRNA) molecules are approximately 80 nucleotides in length. Their secondary structure includes four short double-helical elements and three loops (D, anti-codon, and T loops). Lineage: Duplodnaviria; Heunggongvirae; Uroviricota; Caudoviricetes. The record is from RNAcentral.
GCUCGCGUGAUGGAAUUUGGUAGACAUGGCAGACUCAAAAUCUGCUGGCUGUUGGGCCGUGUGGGUUCGAGUCCCACUGCGAGUA